Sinocyclocheilus rhinocerous is the source of this 427-nucleotide non-coding RNA. The record is from the annotation of a RefSeq genome assembly. Lineage: Eukaryota; Metazoa; Chordata; Actinopteri; Cypriniformes; Cyprinidae.
UAACACUUCAUCACUGACACACACAACAAUCUUCAUCAACAUGACCUUCAUCAUCAUCUUCAUCUGGACUCUUUUAUACUGCUUUACACUACAAGGGUCUAGAGCAGCUCAGAUCACAGUCACUCAGACUCCUUCAGUGAAAACUGCCACACCAGGAGAAAAUGUUGUGAUGAGCUGCAAACUCAGUAAACAUUCAACCUGCGGCCCACCCUGUGUGGCCUGGUACUUGCAGAAACCUGGAGAAGCUCUUAAACUCCUGAUUUAUGAUGCAAGCAGCCGUCAGUCAGGAACUGCAUCUAGAUUCAGUGGCAGUGGAUCUCACAGUGAUUAUACUCUGACCAUCAGUGGAUUCCAGACUGAAGAUGCUGGACAUUAUUACUGUCAGAGUUACUACUGGAUGAACAGUAAAAAUGUGUUCACACAGUGA